Molecule: unclassified non-coding RNA, 329 nt
Filed under: soil metagenome
Description: partial contains 5.8S ribosomal RNA, internal transcribed spacer 2, and large subunit ribosomal RNA
Rfam family: 5.8S ribosomal RNA (bases 1-120)
Source: RNAcentral
GAUGAAGAACGUAGCGAAAUGCGAUAAGUAAUGUGAAUUGCAGAAUUCAGUGAAUCAUCGAAUCUUUGAACGCACAUUGCGCCCCCUGGUAUUCCGGGGGGCAUGCCUGUCCGAGCGUCAUUACAACCCUCAAGCUCAGCUUGGUGUUGGGCCCCGCCGCCCCGGCGGGCCCUAAAGUCAGUGGCGGUGCCGUCCGGCUCCGAGCGUAGUAAUUCUUCUCGCUCUGGAGGUCCGGUCGUGUGCUCGCCAGCAACCCCCAAUUUUUUUCAGGUUGACCUCGGAUCAGGUAGGGAUACCCGCUGAACUUAAGCAUAUCAAUAAGCGGAUGA